Molecule: unclassified non-coding RNA, 391 nt
Filed under: soil metagenome
Description: partial contains 5.8S ribosomal RNA, internal transcribed spacer 2, and large subunit ribosomal RNA
Rfam family: 5.8S ribosomal RNA (bases 1-122)
Source: RNAcentral
GAUGAAGAACGUAGCGAAAUGCGAUACUUGGUGUGAAUUGCAGAAUCCCGUGAACCAUCGAGUCUUUGAACGCAAGUUGCGCCCGAAGCCACUAGGCCGAGGGCACGCCUGCCUGGGCGUCACACGCCGUUGCCCCCCCAUCUACUCCUUCGGGAUUGCGGGGGGGCGGAUGAUGGCCUCCUGUGCGCCUAGCCGCGCGGUUGACAUAAAUACCAAGUCCUCGGCGACGCACGCCACGACAAUCGGUGGUUGCGAAACCUCGGUUGCCCGUCGUGUGCGUUCGUCGCGCAUCGAGGGCUCGAAAAAAUGCUCGGCUCCGGCUGGGCUUUCAACGCGACCCCAGGUCAGGCGGGGUUACCCGCUGAAUUUAAGCAUAUCAAUAAGCGGAGGA